RNAcentral lists this ribosomal RNA (484 nucleotides) under uncultured bacterium. Its description in RNAcentral is "partial 16S ribosomal RNA". It matches the Rfam family "Bacterial small subunit ribosomal RNA", at positions 29 to 507 of the family's 1533-position model. The record is from RNAcentral.
AGUGAACGCUGGCGGCAGGCCUAACACAUGCCAGUCGAGCGGCAGCGCGGGGGCAACCCUGGCGGCGAGCGGCGGACGGGUGAGGAAUUCGUCGGAAUCUGCCUUUUUGUGGGGGAUAACGUAGGGAAACUUACGCUAAUACCGCAUACGUCCUACGGGCGAAAGUGGGGGACCGCAAGGCCUCACGCAGAAAGAUGAGCCGACGACCGAUUAGCUAGUUGGUGGGGUAAAGGCCCACCAAGGCGACGAUCGGUAGCUGGUCUGAGAGGAUGAUCAGCCACACUGGGACUGAGACACGGCCCAGACUCCUACGGGAGGCAGCAGUGGGGAAUAUUGGACGAUGGGCGCAAGCCUGAUCCAGCCAUGCCGCGUGUGUGAAGAAGGCCUUCGGGUUGUAAAGCACUUUUGUCCGGAAAGAAAUCCAUGGAGCUAAUACCUUCGGGGGAUGACGGUACCGGAAGAAUAAGCACCGGCUAACUUCGUG